GAUGAACGCUAGCUACAGGCUUAACACAUGCAAGUCGCGGGGCAGCAUGGGGGUUGCUUGCAACCCCUGAUGGCGACCGGCGCACGGGUGAGUAACGCGUAGCCAACCUGCCCUUCACCACGGGAUAACCCGGCGAAAGUCGGACUAAUACCGUAUGUUGUCCAUUGACGGCACCCGAUGUGGACGAAAGGCUUGGCGGUGAAGGGGUGGGGUGGCGUCCGAUUAGCUUGACGGCGGGGUACCGGCCCACCGUGGCUACGAUCGGUAGGGGUUCUGAGAGGAAGGUCCCCCACACUGGAACUGAGACACUGUCCAGACUCCUACGGGAGGCAGCAGUGAGGAAUAUUGGUCAAUGGGCGUAAGCCUGAACCAGCCAAGUAGCGUGCAGGAUGACGGCCCUAUGGGUUGUAAACUGCUUUUAUGCGGGGAUAAAGUGGCCCACGUGUGGGCUUUUGCAGGUACCGCAUGAAUAAGGACCGGCUAAUUCCGUG
RNAcentral lists this ribosomal RNA (491 nucleotides) under uncultured bacterium. RNAcentral's name for it is "partial 16S ribosomal RNA". It matches the Rfam family "Bacterial small subunit ribosomal RNA", at positions 28 to 507 of the family's 1533-position model. The record is from RNAcentral.